CACGACUCUCGCCCCUGCCCGCACCUCCCUCUUCGCACGACUCUCGCCCCUGCGCGCACGACCUCCACCUCCUCCUCCCGCGCCGUUCGCCGCCCCGCAAACUCCGGCAGCCGUUAACCGCCCUUCGCCGCGGGAGCAGCCGCUCGCCACUGCAGCCGCCGCCCGCGGGAGAAGCCGCGGGAGCCGCUCGCCGCUCGCCGCGGGUCGCCCUUUGCCAUGGUCGUUGCCGGAGCCGCCCCGCCCCUGGAUCCGCUCGCCGUUGGUCCCUGCCGGAGCCGCCCCGCCCCUCCCCGGCGCUCCAACCCCAACUCCCCGACUCUCCAUCCUCCCCGCUUCUCAUCACCACCGCCGCACUACGCGAAGCCCAUCUCUCUCCAGCCUCCCUGCCCGCAUGCAGCCCUCGCCCUCGGCACCGCACGGCCAGGCCCUCUCUCCUCGGUUAUGGCCACCAUGGAAAACCUGACCCGUAGGGCAUACCCUUCUCCUCUGAUGCGUAACACCCAUCCCUGCCCCGGCGGUUGGGAUCAUGUCCGCCAUCAUGAGCAGCUGCUCCGCAUCCGAGUGCACCGACUCAGAGGUAGAGGUUGGGCUGUAGUUCUUGGACGCCAAGGAAGAACGCAAGUUGUUGCCGCCGCCGAAGAUGAAAACUGGUGGUAACUGGAAGCAUGUAGUUUCUCUGUAGGACUCCUGGUGUGCUGCUGGAAUAAACUGGAGAUCGAGAUGGUGGAGGCAGCCAGUGUCGUGGCCGAGCGCUGGGGAGCUUGUCGGCGUUUUGAUGGAGAAGGUCGGCCGCCUCCUCUCCCCACCAAGUCUCUUUGGCCCAUAGAUCGAGUUCAUGGUUGAUAAGGAAGGUGUGGUCGAUUUCACUAGGCUGGAUCCGAAGGUCCCGAAGUCCUAUGGCAUGAACUGGCCACGGCGCAUCCGGCUGGAUGCACUUGCUCAACACCUUUCCAUCUCUGUACAAUCAGGUAGAUAUUUUCUCACGUGCCAAAUAUUAUUUUUAGGUUGCCAAAUAGUAGUCUAGGAACUAUAGAAAGUGGAUUGCUGAGUUUGCCAAGCAUAAUAGCACACCUAUUAUCAGAUGACCUGAAGAGUAUAUCAAGCAAAGAUGCUUUCAGAUUUAUGCAUGCCUAUAUUAGGUUCCUACUUGUGUGAAGAUAACACUUUGCAUCAGGCUUGUGAGCAACCGUAAGUUGUUUUGCAUGUGAUACUACUUGUGUGAUUAUUUUUACCUUCGAAAAAUUUCCUUCCUAUUAUAUAUCAUAUGGAAUUCUUCAACCAGAGGAGAGCAACUCAAUGAGUUUGCAUACAUUCAGUCAUCUAUGUUGAUGCAACUCAACUAACAAAGAGUAUUUAAGAAAAGACUGCAGUUUGUAAAGCCAGUGGACAAAUUAGUUCUGCACAGUCCGGCAUUAGCGGCGUGCAUGCAGUAAUUCAUCAAUGUUGGGGGUCAGUGCUAUGAACAUCAAGCUUCACCUCUACCAGUGGCAUUAAUUUGUUGUUUUUGUUUUAUAUCAAAUAAUUUACCAUUCUUCAGUUUUGCAUAUCAUAUUUUGGUUCUGAAUUUGUAUUUGGAUAUUUCUGCAACCUUAUUUCUAACAUGCCUUCAACUACUGUUUAUCGCACUAAAGGCAAAAAAUGUGGAAUAGAGAACUAUUACGGGUAAUACGCAUUGUUUUCUCAUGCAGACUACAAAUUCUCUGUAAUUCACGUGGUUUUGGAAUUUGUUUAAUGUGCAAAAUAUGUACAAGGCUUGUGAGCGGCCAUUUUUAGCCAAGUACUUGUAUAAGUUCUCUUGUAACUUAGCUAUUAGCCUAUUACACUAGUAGAAAAGGGGGCAAUGGUCCAGGCCGGGUCAGCCCAUUAGUCCCGGUUCAAUCCAGAACCGGGACCAAUGGGGGCAUUGGACCCGGUUCGUGAGCCCCGGGGGCCGGCCGGGCCACGUGGGCCAUUGGUCCCGAUUCGGCUGGACCAAUUGGUUCCGAUUAGUGGGACGAACCGGGACCAAUGUGCCUCGCUCCUGACCCACAAC
Molecule: long non-coding RNA, 2032 nt
Organism: Triticum aestivum (bread wheat)
Lineage: Eukaryota; Viridiplantae; Streptophyta; Magnoliopsida; Poales; Poaceae
Exons: 3
Source: RefSeq, a predicted model, not a curated record